AACGAACGCUGGCGGCAGGCUUAACACAUGCAAGUCGAACGCACUCUUCGGAGUGAGUGGCAGACGGGUGAGUAACGCGUGGGAAUCUACCCAGUUCUACGGAACAACAGUUGGAAACGACUGCUAAUACCGUAUACGCCCUACGGGGGAAAGAUUUAUCGGAAUUGGAUGAGCCCGCGUAAGAUUAGCUAGUUGGUGGGGUAAUGGCCUAC
RNAcentral lists this ribosomal RNA (212 nucleotides) under uncultured bacterium. Its description in RNAcentral is "partial 16S ribosomal RNA". It matches the Rfam family "Bacterial small subunit ribosomal RNA", at positions 29 to 268 of the family's 1533-position model. The record is from RNAcentral.